GGGGGAGACCGGAAAGGAGAGAGAGUAAAUGGCAAUUAUCCCUUUGGUUUCUCCUUUUUUAUCUCUGUUUUCUUUUUCUCUUAUGACUAUUUUGACUUGGAAUUGCAGAGGUGCAACCAGUGCCAGCAUUAAUCGAUCUCUUAAGUUGUAUAUCUAGAGACACAAUCCGGCAGUUGUCAUUAUUUUUGAACCUCGAAUCAGUGGUGUGAUGGCUAACCGAGUGAUUAAAAAGACUAGGUUUUCUUUCUCUCAACGUGUGGAGGCAUCAGGAGGAAUCUAGGUUUUGUGGAAAAAGGGCUGGUCAGUGCAAGUGCUGGCUCAUCACAGACAGUAUAUUCAUAUGAAAAUUUAUGAAGCCAAUAGUUGUCUCAUGAAUUUUACUAUGGAAUACAGUUGCCCGAGUGCUUUUAUUAGGGCUCUUUUGUGGCCAUCUUUAAAUAGUGUGGCUUCUAAUGUUGUUGGUCUGUGGGCUCUUAUGGGGGACUAGAACGCUCUCCUUAGGGCUGAAGAUAAGAAAGGAGGCUCUCCUAAUCGUUCGAGUCUCUAUCAUUUAUUUUCAGCAGUAGAUACUAACUUCCAGUUUGAUGGAGAUUCCUUUCAGGGGGUCCUUUUUUCACUUGGACUCGGGGUAGAAUGAUGGAGCGUUUGGAUUGGACUAUUUGUAAUGGGUAUUGGAGGGAUUGGAGACUUGGUUACCCUGAUGGUUAUGUACUGCACUUACCUAAGAUGCAUUGGCCUCUACUUUUAUUGCCUAAUGGUGUUCGACAUUUGCAAUUCCAGGAUCAUCUGUUUCGCUUCCAGGCUACCUGGAUGACGCAAGAUAAAUUCAGGGAUAUGGUCCGUGAUAACUGGAGGCCAAACUCCUCUUUUAUGUCAGUAGUGAGCCAUUUUACAAACAGGCUGAAAAUUUGGAAUAGGUCGGUCUUUAGGACCAUUUUUCAUCGUAAAAACUGUAUUUUGAGUCACCUGAGUGGUGUUCAAAGAAGUCUGCACUAUGGACCGACGUCAUUCCUGGUGGAGAAAGAUUUGAUGCGGGAGCUAGAGGUUUUCUCUCAUCAGGAGAAACUGAUAUGGUACCAGAAGUCUCUGAGUGAAUUUAUUAAAUGGGGAGAUCGCAACACCUGCUAUUUUCACCUUAAGACAAUUAAUCAAGGGCAACAAAAUUGGAUUCCUCAUCUUAAGAAAGCUAAAGGUAUUUGGGUGCAUGAUCAAGCGGAAUUACGAAUUAUGGCUAUGAAGUUUUAGAAACAUCUCUAUUCUAAGGAUGCAGCAGUGGCACCAGCUUAUCCUAUUAAGGGUUGUUUUUCUAAUCUAGGUGAGGAUGCUCUAAUUGGAUUAAGUUCGCCAAUUUCUUCAGUUAAGGUUCACAAGGCUCUUUUUGGCAUGCAACCUUGGAAGGCCCCUGGAUUGGAUGGUUUUCAUACAAGUUUCCAUCAACGGUAUUGGGAUAUUAUCAGUGAUGCUAUAUGUUCAGAAGUGUGUCGGGUUAUUGGUGGGGUUGAUAUUGAUAGUGGUAUGGCUUACUUUGCACAAUUUGAUUCCCAAAGUCCCUCAUUCGGACUCUCUGUCCCAGUUUCAUCCCAUUAGCCUUUGCUUUGUGGCUGAUAAGAUAAUCACUAAGGUCCUGGCUAAUCGGUUGAAAGUCGUCUUGCCUUGUUUGAUGAGCCUGACUCAGACAGGUUUUAUUGCAAGACAACAUAUUACUAACAAUAUAGUUAUUGCUU
Molecule: unclassified non-coding RNA, 1724 nt
Filed under: Hevea brasiliensis (rubber tree)
Lineage: Eukaryota; Viridiplantae; Streptophyta; Magnoliopsida; Malpighiales; Euphorbiaceae
Source: RNAcentral